AUUUGCUUUAUCUGUAUUGCUUCAUUUCAUCUUUAUAGUGUCUUGUGAGAUGGGUGUGUUUAUUCCCAUUUUACAGAGAAUAUCCAUUUAUAUAAUGUCAUGAACGUAUAUCCGAUGACAUCAUUUGCCUGCAAACGUACCCAGUGAGUGGCAGAGUCAUCCUGAAGCCUGCUUUCCGGGCCCUGCCUAUAUUCUGGAAAGCUUCACAUGUGAGAUAAAUGCACUCAAAGAUUCCUCACAAGUAGCUCUUUGGAGCUUCGGAUGUGAAAUGGAUCAUUCCUCAAUCUGUAAUAGACCCUUCUGUGAAGCUCUUCAAUCAAACCAGAGAAUUCAAGCCCGAGGAUACUGAAGACCAGCUCAUCAAGUUGGCAACAGGAAAGAUCAACAGUAAAAACCAGUACUAAUCUCCAUAGCAGAGGAGUGGUGACUAACAGCAUAAAUCUGUAACUUAGCAAACUCA
This 460-nucleotide long non-coding RNA is filed under the name Papio anubis (olive baboon). RNAcentral's name for it is "lncRNA (ENSPANG00000039160.1)". Lineage: Eukaryota; Metazoa; Chordata; Mammalia; Primates; Cercopithecidae. The record is from RNAcentral.